GACGAACGCUGGCGGCGUGCCUAAUACAUGCAAGUAGAACGCUGAAGGAGGAGCUUGCUUCUCUGGAUGAGUUGCGAACGGGUGAGUAACGCGUAGGUAACCUGCCUGGUAGCGGGGGAUAACUAUUGGAAACGAUAGCUAAUACCGCAUAAUAGUAGAUGUUGCAUGACAUUUGCUUAAAAGGUGCAAUUGCAUCACUACCAGAUGGACCUGCGUUGUAUUAGCUAGUUGGUGAGGUAACGGCUCACCAAGGCGACGAUACAUAGCCGACCUGAGAGGGUGAUCGGCCACACUGGGACUGAGACACGGCCCAGACUCCUACGGGAGGCAGCAGUAGGGGAUCUUCGGCAAUGGACGGAAGUCUGACCGAGCAACGCCGCGUGAGUGAAGAAAGGUUUUCGGAUCGUAAAGCUCUGUUGUAAAGAGAAAGAAACGAAGUGUGAAGAAGUGGAA
Molecule: ribosomal RNA, 453 nt
Filed under: Streptococcus mitis
Lineage: Bacteria; Bacillati; Bacillota; Bacilli; Lactobacillales; Streptococcaceae
Description: bacterial SSU rRNA
Rfam family: Bacterial small subunit ribosomal RNA
Source: RNAcentral